GUUUAUAUAGUUUAUUUAAAACAUUACAUUUUCAUUGUAAAAAUAAAAAAAAAUUUUUUAUAAAUA
Molecule: transfer RNA, 66 nt
Filed under: Lethe baucis
Lineage: Eukaryota; Metazoa; Arthropoda; Insecta; Lepidoptera; Nymphalidae
Description: tRNA-Glu
Source: RNAcentral